UUUUUUUUUUUUAAGACAGUCUCACUGUGUCACGAAGGCUGGAGUGCAGUGGGGUGAUCUCAGUCCACUGCGACCUCCACCUCUCAGGUUCAAGUGAUUCUCAUGCCUCAGCCUCCCGAGUAGCCUGGAUUACAAGUGCCCACCACCACACCAGAUGAAUUUUUGUAUUUUUAGUAGAGACGUGAAUCACCAUGUUGGCCAGGCUGGUCUCAAACUCCUGACCUCAGGUGAUUCUCCCAUCUCAGCCUCCCAAAGUGCUGGGAUUACAGGCAUGAGCCACUGCACUCAGCCUAGGUUGUCUCAACUUUUCCUUCCUCCCUGACCUUUCCUCCUGUCUCCUCCUCCACCUCCUAUCACCUAAACAUAGGGAAUCUUCAAUGAUCUCUUUGGGUUGAGCAGACUUAUUUAUCAGCAAUGCCUUGUAUGUUCCUUACCUCCCCUUCCCAUCACACAGUACUAACCACUAUAAGAUCACGGCUUUACCUCCCCUUCAGUAUUUGCACUAUUUCUAGUGUUUGCCACACUCAUCUGACAAGGAAAGAGGCAAGCUAAGAGCACACAUGGGUCCCUGAGGGUCCCUGAGGCUCACAGGUAUUGAGGUCUGCUCUGGAAGAUGCCUCGUGAGCCCUGGUGACCAAAGUCUCAGCAUGUAGUGCAUUGGCCAGUGAGGAGUGUAUAGCCUUCAAAGGACCACUUGGAGGCUGCCAUAGUUUCCUAGAGGUUGAGUGACUCAGAUCCCCAAAGACUCAGCAGUCACUCAUCCAGAGGGAAUGGGCCAAAGCAACUCCUGGCACUCAGACUUUGAAGCUGUUCUGGGAGUCAGGUAAGUUGGAAGGCAGCAUGAUUGUGUCAGCCCAGAAAACUUAGUUCCUUAAAAUAACGAAAGUUCUAUAGUAGCUGACUUUGCCUUUUCCCUACGUUAGAAAGAGAAUCCAUAGGCUUUUGGUUAAUAUGAGAUACUACGAUCAAGAAAGGCAGCAGCUGGAGUACAGGCCUAGGCCCUCAGAACAUCCCUUUAUCUUUGGAGGAAGGACAAGGCUCCAUUUGUGAGCCUCCAUUUGCAAGAGUGAGUGGACCUUGUUGCUCCUGCCAAGAACUGGGAAAACUCUUAAUUGGAAAGACACCAAGCUGUGGCUUUCUAUGAGAGCAGAUCCUGACUUGGACUUCAAAGGAAUGAUCCCCAGAAGGGUUAGUUAAAUAUGUGUGUUGAGGAUUUCAAAAAGAUAUGAAUGCUUACUAUGUGUCAAGCCCUGUGCUAGUCACUUUAUGUAUGUGUGAGAAAAGUAAGUUAAGACCAAUUAAUUUUUUCAUCCUCCUAGGGAUGAGCACACCCAUAUACUCUACAACCAGUAAAAAGAAUAAGACAAUUCUGAUAUGUAAUAAUCUUCAAUAUGGGCUGGGCGUGGUGGUGGCUCACGCCUGUAAUUCCAACACUUUGGGAGUCAAGGCGGGUGAAUCACCCGAGGUCAGGAGUUCAAGACCAGCCUGGUUAACAUAGUGAGAUCUCAUCUCUACAAGAAAUUUUUAAAAAUUAGCUGGGCAUGUUGGUACACAUCUGUAGUCCCAGCUAUUCAGGAGGUUGAGGCAGGGAGGAUCACUUGAGCCCAGAGGCUGGAGGCUACAGUGAGCUAUGAUUGUACCACUGUACUGCAGCCUGGGCAACAAAGUGAUACCCUGUCUCAAAAUAAAUAAAUAAACAAAAAUGAAUAAAUGUAUGGCCAGAAUCCUCAAGUGGACCUUCAGUGGUAUAUAGCC
This is a long non-coding RNA of Macaca fascicularis (crab-eating macaque), 1755 nucleotides long. Lineage: Eukaryota; Metazoa; Chordata; Mammalia; Primates; Cercopithecidae. The record is from Ensembl.